RNAcentral lists this ribosomal RNA (253 nucleotides) under uncultured bacterium. Its description in RNAcentral is "partial 16S ribosomal RNA". It matches the Rfam family "Bacterial small subunit ribosomal RNA", at positions 524 to 776 of the family's 1533-position model. The record is from RNAcentral.
UACGUAGGGGGCAAGCGUUACCCGGAUUUACUGGGCGUAAAGGGCGCGUAGGCGGCCUUCUAAGUCGAACGUGAAAUCCCCGGGCUCAACCCGGGAACUGCGUCCGAUACUGGAAGGCUUGAAUCCGGGAGAGGGAUGCGGAAUUCCAGGUGUAGCGGUGAAAUGCGUAGAUAUCUGGAGGAACACCGGUGGCGAAGGCGGCAUCCUGGACCGGCAUUGACGCUGAGGCGCGAAAGCCAGGGGAGCAAACGGG